Molecule: long non-coding RNA, 387 nt
Organism: Panicum virgatum (switchgrass)
Lineage: Eukaryota; Viridiplantae; Streptophyta; Magnoliopsida; Poales; Poaceae
Exons: 2
Source: RefSeq, a predicted model, not a curated record
AACUUUGAAGCUUGUGCUUGUUUUGGAACAUAUUGGCUCAUACUCUUAGGCCCUUGUGCAGAAAGAUUACUGGACCGAAAAUUACGUUGACCUACUGAUGUCAUAAACCCAGUAUAGCUGCAGCAAAAUUCAAAGCAAUUACAGUAAUCCUUAUCAAGAUCAUCAAAUUCAUCACCAAGAAGCUCUUCGUAAAUUUCCUUUCUUAUCAGUUAUCACACGAUUCUUUUGAGGUGAGCUACAGUUCCCUGAAACUAGAACACAUUUCUGUUAAAAUGGAAAUUCCUUAAUGUCCACGGUUAUUUAUCAAUACCAACAGAAAUGUAACCAGUCUAUAUGCAAUUUAAUUAAUUAAAUUGCUUCCAUCAAAUUGAACUCCUGGCUUGUCCA